RNAcentral lists this long non-coding RNA (922 nucleotides) under Homo sapiens (human). Its description in RNAcentral is "HSALNT0098257". Lineage: Eukaryota; Metazoa; Chordata; Mammalia; Primates; Hominidae. The record is from RNAcentral.
CAUUUCAAGUUCAGAACUAUUAAGGAGGGUGCUGAUUUCAACAUUCUCAGUUAUUCAGUGGAAUAUUAUUCAGCCUUAAAAAAGGAAGGAAAUCCUGCCUUCUGCAACGACACAGACAAACCUGGAGAACAUUCAGUGAGAUGAGAAAAGUGAGGCCCAGAGAGUGCAAAUGCGCUGCCCAAAUCCGUAUACCCAGUAAACAGCAGAGCCAGGACUCAGUGCCACAACUUCAAAGCCCAACACUCUGUCCAGCUGCAAAUUUUGUUUCCAAUCAGACCCAGAAAACCAAGGGCAAUUGCACAAGAUCGUUUGUAGUAAACCUGUUAUUUAAGAGGAACGAAGACUGAGCCUCAGGGUCUAGGAGUAACUUAUAGGGGCUUCUUGUACUUAUGGAUAGAAAAUACAUGGAUAAAUAGAGAUAUUAAAGGAAGGGAUGCCCUACCCUCCCGAAAGAAAUAAAAAUGUGAUCACUCUCGGCACCGUAGUCUCUGAUGAGAACAUUUAAUCAAUUAGCAUUGCCGUUGCCAAAACUUGCUUCCCACCGAGCCCAAAAGCCGCCGGCGGCACAUCCCAGCGGCCUCCCUCCUCCCGGGCUGGGAUUCGCCUCUGCAAGAAACGUCAUGUUUUCUCUCCCAGACAUCGUUCCGGGAGCCCCAGAUGUAAAAUCAGAGGUCUCUUAUCUGGCAUUAUUGAUCUCUGUGCUAAUAAAAUGUCAGUCCCCAAGGGAAAACUUAAAAAAAGAAUCGUGCUGUCAUCUCUGUUCCUGCGGGGACAGGCACCCAUUUGUCGGCUCACUUCAUUGCUCCGUCGGCCGGGCUACUAUUUCAGGGCUCCCUGGAAGAGUAAGUCCCUGAAAUGGGCAGGGACACGCUUUCUAUUUCCCCUUUCACAGGGGCUCUCUGGAAUUCAAGGAUGAACGAAU